This 1403-nucleotide long non-coding RNA is filed under the name Taeniopygia guttata (zebra finch). RNAcentral describes it as "lncRNA (ENSTGUG00000026953.1)". The record is from RNAcentral. Lineage: Eukaryota; Metazoa; Chordata; Aves; Passeriformes; Estrildidae.
UCCUUGUAGAUUUAAAAUCUAAAUUACAGAAAGGGUGAAAUGCGGUGACUGGGCUGGCCAAGGCCCUGACUGUGCACUAAAUCUGCAAGCGUGGGCCUGGCUUUUGUGCAGGGGGCUCUGCAAGUGCCAAGGUCACUGCUAAUAAAUCUGACUGGAGGACCAGGAGAAUUUUAUUUAACUUACUGCUAACAGCAGGCUCCUUUUUAACUAUCUUUUAUUUUUUUUUCCCCUUGCUCCCUUCUGCUGAUUCAUGCUCCUGCUUCUUCGGCACAGGGAGAUGCCAGCAUUCCUAAAGUGACAGACAGUCGCACAGCUUGCCAGCCGCCGAGCUGCCACGUUUCCAGGCUCGGGGACUCCUCCAGGGUGAAGGAGGAAAGAAGUGAGGAGGACACAGAGAAAUCCUUCCUUUGCCUCCUCGGUUUUUUUAGUGACUGUUUCUACUGUGGCAGUACCAAAAGUGCUGCGUAAAGUGACAGGAGGACUGUUACAGGCUGCGGCAGGCUCAGGAACCAGUUAUUUCAUGUCCUCUCUUUAGAGAGGAGGAAAGGCGAAUCCCAGAGCGAUAUUGUCGAUUUUGGCUGCAGCUCCUCGCCGGGCAGCCGGGCAGGUGCCACACACACAGCAGGCGCCUGGAACUCAUCAAAUCAAUUAGCUCCUUCGGCUGUGGGAGGAGUCAUCAGCCGGAGACAAAUUAAAGGAAUGUCCAGUAAAAUAUUCUGUUCUGAGAGGAGCUGUCCUAUUUUUUCAUAUAACGACAGGCUCCAAAAUCUGUGCACAGCUCAGCUCAUUAUUAGAACUAAUUGGUGCCGGGCGUUCUGUCCUCUCUGAUAGGGCUAACCAUGGGGGUGAAAUUUUCUGAGUUAAUGAGGCAGAGGAUGGAUUAAGAACUUUCCAAGUGCCGUUCAUAUCUCAGCCUAAUUGGAAGGGGUAGAUCAGUUGGCUGUUUUGAAUGGCUACAAAGGAAAGCCGUGUUUUGGGGGGAAAAAGCACGUGCACAAACGCCUUCCCUGCCGCCGGGCGCUGGGAAUCCCUGAUUUCAGUGUGGCAGAGCUGCAGCAUUUGAGGGCAGGGCCUUCCCCAGCCCCGUGAGCCUGAGCAGGGGUGAAAUGGGAUUUAUUCCGUGCGUGCAGCACUCCGUGUUCCUCCUGUGCAAGGCUCUGUGUGCAGAGAGCAAUUAGUGCAGAUCUCCUCAGGCCGGGGAGCUGCCGGCACAGCAAGGGCUGCUCUGGGUGUGGGCAUCCUCCUGAUGGAGAUCCACGUCCCCCAGACCGUCAUGCCCCCUUCCACAGUCCCAUUCCAAUUGUUGGUUUACACCUCUUUUGCGCUGUUCUGAAGAGUAGAUUUGUGACACCCAUUUUUUCUGGCCCGGAAAUUUAAUUUUUCUGUGUGAUUUAGAACUCUUC